GGGGCUGUAGCUCAAUGGUAGAGCCUCUGCCUUGAAUGCAGAAGGUCACGGGUUCAAUCUCCGGCAUCUCCA
Molecule: non-coding RNA, 72 nt
Organism: Gekko japonicus
Lineage: Eukaryota; Metazoa; Chordata; Lepidosauria; Squamata; Gekkonidae
Source: the annotation of a RefSeq genome assembly